ACUUGAAUAGCUUAUGUUUAGAGCGCGACGCUGAAGAUGUCGAUGAGGUAUUUUUUUUUGCCUUUAAGUG
RNAcentral lists this transfer RNA (70 nucleotides) under Nasutitermes triodiae (Spinifex termite). RNAcentral's name for it is "tRNA-Phe". The record is from RNAcentral. Lineage: Eukaryota; Metazoa; Arthropoda; Insecta; Blattodea; Termitidae.